UACGUAGGGCGCAAGCGCUGUCCGGAAUUAUUGGGCGUAAAGAGCUCGUAGGCGGCUUGUCACGUCGGAUGUGAAAGCCCGAGGCUUAACCUCGGGUCUGCAUUCGAUACGGGCUAGCUAGAGUGUGGUAGGGGAGAUCGGAAUUCCUGGUGUAGCGGUGAAAUGCGCAGAUAUCAGGAGGAACACCGGUGGCGAAGGCGGAUCUCUGGGCCAUUACUGACGCUGAGGAGCGAAAGCGUGGGGAGCGAACAGG
This 253-nucleotide ribosomal RNA is filed under the name uncultured bacterium. RNAcentral's name for it is "partial 16S ribosomal RNA". It matches the Rfam family "Bacterial small subunit ribosomal RNA", at positions 524 to 776 of the family's 1533-position model. The record is from RNAcentral.